Molecule: ribosomal RNA, 450 nt
Filed under: uncultured bacterium
Lineage: Bacteria
Description: bacterial SSU rRNA
Rfam family: Bacterial small subunit ribosomal RNA
Source: RNAcentral
GUGGGGAAUAUUGGACAAUGGGCGAAAGCCUGAUCCAGCCAUGCCGCGUGUGUGAAGAAGGUCUUCGGAUUGUAAAGCACUUUAAGUUGGGAGGAAGGGCAGUAAGUUAAUACCUUGCUGUUUUGACGUUACCGACAGAAUAAGCACCGGCUAACUUCGUGCCAGCAGCCGCGGUAAUACGAAGGGUGCAAGCGUUAAUCGGAAUUACUGGGCGUAAAGCGCGCGUAGGUGGUUCAGCAAGUUGGAGGUGAAAUCCCCGGGCUCAACCUGGGAACUGCCUCCAAAACUGCAUGACUAGAGUACGGUAGAGGGUAGUGGAAUUUCCUGUGUAGCGGUGAAAUGCGUAGAUAUAGGAAGGAACACCAGUGGCGAAGGCGACUACCUGGACUGAUACUGACACUGAGGUGCGAAAGCGUGGGGAGCAAACAGGAUUAGAAACCCUUGUAGUCC